Oncorhynchus gorbuscha (pink salmon) is the source of this 871-nucleotide long non-coding RNA. RefSeq lists it as uncharacterized. The transcript is spliced from 2 exons. NCBI's taxonomy places the organism in Eukaryota, Metazoa, Chordata, Actinopteri, Salmoniformes, Salmonidae. The record is from RefSeq and is a predicted model, not a curated record.
UAUAUACCCAUGUACAGGGACUAAUGUCACACACACAAAAAAGAGAAGUUAUUAAGGACUUCAGUUAAACAGCAUUUUACCCACUCAGUAAAUUUAGGUGUUACUUUUCACAGACAAGAUGCAGACGUGUACAUGAAAUGAUCUUACUAUCAGCAGUUUUGGAUGCAGUGUGGUCAACAAUGGCCCAUGGAAAAAGUUGUUGGCUAUUCAUAUUCAUGAACGAAAUUUGGACUUUUCAUGGGUCAAAAUGGGUCCUCAUCGGGAUACAAAAUCACAGAUGCUCUUAUCCAGGGCGAUUUGGUGACUCACAGACUAGUGAGUGUAUACAUUUUCCUAUUUGUUUGUUCUGGUCUCCCUAGGGAAUAGAACCCACCACUGUAAGGAAGUGCUAUUUCUUAUGCAAAUGACCAGCUUACUGCUAUUACAUUGCUAUAACUGAGACAACGUAUUUUCACAGUGAAACAUGUUAGGUCCCAUACAGGAUAGCUUCCACACCCACACACACACAGCACACACACAUACACACACUAACUGCCGAGGACACACAGAUAAGACAUACACCCACACAUUGGGGGGAAGAGACACAGCCUUGACUUGCAGACACAAGCACACACACACAAUCUCCUUCCUAGCCGAACAUUGUGUGACUGAGAACGGCACUACGAGACUCAGAGGAAUGACGGACGGCCCAACAGGGCCAACCAGAAGACCGGACUUCCAGACUCAACCUACUUUCUGUACUGUACAUAACAUGCUUGCAAUCUGUUAUCGGGGCUUCUUUCUGCUGGUUCCUUGUGAGCCAAAUGAAUGAGCCCGUAUACGUUGUACCAGAUAUCUUUACUCUGAAUAAACUGUCGCUUGUCAUACAAUU